UUGUUUGUAAAAAGAGAGUAGAGUUGCGAAACAUCUUAAAGAGAGCGUGAUCCGCGACUCAACCAUCUACUAACCUAUUUUCUGUUUUGCAAUUUUCGUUGGACCAGAUGAUUUAAUCAUUUGCUGUUAUGAUCAGUAGGCAAGAUUAUUUGGUGAACAGACCAGGAGAGAUAUCGCACCUUACAUGAGAUACAAGACGAAGUGCAACAAUUUUAAGAUGUUUUCUUUCUAUUGCGAUGGUUGGAUCAUUCCAAGGUGAUAUGAUGUCAUCUGAUCUCAAUCGUCCUUUCUGCUUUGAAGGAGCGCACUUCAAGAGAUGGAAACAAAAGAUGUUUUUUCUCACGUUGAAAAUGGUUGUUGCCACAUGUACCACUAAGAAACCAAAAGUUCCAAAGACAAUUCCAAUACCAUGUCUACUGUGAAAGAAGUAUGGGACGCGUUAUAAAAGAAGUAUGAUAUUGAGGAAGCGGGAUCGAAGAAGUAUGCAGUGAGCUGAUACCUGUGAUAUCAAAUGACAGAUGAUAGAUCCGUGGAGGCUCAAUCACUUGAAAUUCAGAAGAUAUCACAUGAAAUUAUAAACAAAGGUAUGAUGCUACAAUCAAUUUCAAGUUUCAGUUAUUAUUGACAAAUUGCCUCCUCUGUGGAAAGAUUUCAAGAACACUCUAAGGCACAAAACCAAGGAGUACUCGCUGGAAAUCCUUAUCACAAGAUUAAGGAUAGAGGAGGAGGUGAACACGAUUCUUAGAAAGAAACCUACCGCAAUUCUGAAAUCGAAUAUGAAGCCGAAAGGGAACAAGAUGAAACGUGGAUCUAACAAGCAGAACAAUUCGCAUAAACUCCAGUCCAGAAGUAGAGUACAAAUUGUUUGUUAUAAAUAAAAUAAGCCUAGACACUUAACUAGGAAUUGUAGAAACAUGAUUCGUCUUGAUACACAGGUGAACCUGGUAGUAGAAGAUUUAGUAGCUAUGAUCACAAAAGUUGAUGUUAUUGAGGGGUCUAAAGGUUGGUGGCUAGACACUAGUGCAUCUUGUCAUGUAUGUCAUGACCUUAGUAAGUUUAGAAAAUAUAAUAAAAUUAAGGAUAAGAAUAUCCUUCUGGGAGAUCAUCACACAACAAAGGUGGUCAUGUUAAAGAAGUAGAAUUGAAAUUCACAUAUGGCAAGACGCUUGUGCUGAAGGAAGUUUUGUAUACUCUAAAAAUUUGCAAGAAUUUGGUCUCCGGAUACAUCCUCAACAAGGCUGGCUUUAUACAAACCAUAAGAUCAUACUUGUUUACUUUAACUAAAAAUAAUGUAUUUGUGGGAAAGGGUUACGCUACGGAUGGCAUGUUUAAGUUGAACUUGAAAAUUAAUAAGAAAUUAUCUUCUGCUUA
Molecule: long non-coding RNA, 1371 nt
Organism: Cucumis sativus (cucumber)
Lineage: Eukaryota; Viridiplantae; Streptophyta; Magnoliopsida; Cucurbitales; Cucurbitaceae
Exons: 2
Source: RefSeq, a predicted model, not a curated record